This 85-nucleotide transfer RNA is filed under the name Planctomycetota bacterium. Its description in RNAcentral is "Planctomycetes bacterium tRNA-Leu". It matches the Rfam family "tRNA". From Rfam's summary of the family: Transfer RNA (tRNA) molecules are approximately 80 nucleotides in length. Their secondary structure includes four short double-helical elements and three loops (D, anti-codon, and T loops). Further hydrogen bonds mediate the characteristic L-shaped molecular structure. tRNAs have two regions of fundamental functional importance: the anti-codon, which is responsible for specific mRNA codon recognition, and the 3' end, to which the tRNAs corresponding amino acid is attached (by aminoacyl-tRNA synthetases). tRNAs cope with the degeneracy of the genetic code in two manners: having more than one tRNA (with a specific anti-codon) for a particular amino acid; and 'wobble' base-pairing, i.e. permitting non-standard base-pairing at the 3rd anti-codon position. The record is from RNAcentral. Lineage: Bacteria; Pseudomonadati; Planctomycetota.
GCGAGCGUGGCGGAACUGGCAGACGCGCCAGGUUUAGGUCCUGGUGGGGUAACCCAUGGGAGUUCGAAUCUCCCCGCUCGCACGA